UUCUCUCUGUCUACAGAUUUUCCCUCUUCCUCUUCUAACUCAACAACACUUUAGAGAACCCAAAAAGCAUAAUCGAUAAACCCGAAAGAAACCAAAACCCUUUAAUCCACUUUCUUUGUAUUUUUGCUGAUAGUUCUUUCUGUUGUUUGUGUAUGUAAUUGUGUGAUUCUGCUGGAAAUUGUGUAUUGGCUAAUGAAAUUGUGUAAUCGUGGAUAUAUGGUGGUUGAACUGUGUUUCGAUUCCCCGCAAUGCUGCUGUAAUUUGUUGCUCGGAUUGUCGCUUGAUUCUCUGUGUGUGAUAAUUGUUGCUGGGAUCUGGAUUUGUGGGUUGUGGCUCCCGAAACCUUGAUAGGCCCUAAAAACUAUACCCAAAAUUUUGCUGAAAUUGCCCUUUCUUUCUGGUGUCCAAUCGAAAGUUAUUUUUAUAGGUAUUUAAUCCCAAAUCAUAUAGAAGCGUAGAUCAAACAAGGUUUCGAUUCACAAGGGUUCCUUAUUGUAUUUGAAAUUUCGAUCCUUGAUUCAAGCCCAAAAAAAAGGCACUCUAUUGUCCAAAAGAAUUAUCAUCCACUCCAACUUCAGAG
RNAcentral lists this long non-coding RNA (580 nucleotides) under Durio zibethinus. RNAcentral describes it as "long non-coding RNA (DZIB_LNC002333)". Lineage: Eukaryota; Viridiplantae; Streptophyta; Magnoliopsida; Malvales; Malvaceae. The record is from RNAcentral.